RNAcentral lists this ribosomal RNA (253 nucleotides) under uncultured bacterium. Its description in RNAcentral is "partial 16S ribosomal RNA". It matches the Rfam family "Bacterial small subunit ribosomal RNA", at positions 524 to 776 of the family's 1533-position model. The record is from RNAcentral.
UACAGAGGUGGCAAGCGUUGUUCGGAAUUACUGGGCGUAAAGGGCGCGUAGGCGGCCUACUAAGUCAGACGUGAAAUCCCCCGGCUUAACCUGGGAACUGCGUCUGAUACUGGAAGGCUCGAGUAUGGGAGAGGGAUGUAGAAUUCCAGGUGUAGCGGUGAAAUGCGUAGAUAUCUGGAGGAAUACCGGUGGCGAAGGCGGCAUCCUGGGUCGGUAUUGACGCUGAGGAGCGAAAGCCAGGGGAGCAAACGGG